UAAAGAUUUUACUUGUAUGAGACUUCUUUUUGGCUUGCAUUAUCCACCUAACAGCUUUCUUUUGGAGGACGAUUAAGCUUUUCAUUGCUGAACUAUUGCCAAAAAACUCAAUCCCAUAUUCCAGUCUCGUUUUAAUUAAUGAGUUAUACAGUACAAUGUGGCCCUGAAAUGAAUGAAAUUCCACUCAAGGACCUUCGGGUCAACUCCUUUUGAAUACUUCACUCUUAGAUAAUGGAGGCAAAGACAUUGAGCAAGUCUCAUCAAUGAAAGAUUUAGGUGUGGUCCUCCAAAAUAAUGGAAAGUUCGACGAGCAUAUCCCGUUGAAGGCGGGUAAAGCUUUUCAAACAUGUGGUUGGUUAUAUCGCACGUUUAAGUCCAGAGAUAGUAUCACAAUGCUAACUCUGUACAAGUCGAUUGUCCAGCCGCAUCUUGAAUAUGCCUCGCCCAUUUGGGCUCCAAUGAGUUCAGCAGGUUUGCAAAAGCUCGAGCAGGUCCAAAGAUGUUUUACUAGGAACAUUGAGGAUAUGAGAGAGCUCUCGUUCCUCAAAUGGACAUUCCACACGUCAGAUUUGGCUUUGGGUGGUUGUGAGGGAAAAUCAUACCUUGAAAACGGUUCUUGUAAAAGAAACUGUGUUUUCAAUACCAGGGUCACUCUUUGCAUGUAAUUUAUUCAAGUUCUGAUUUUAAAGAUCCAUAUGGUCAACACCUAAAACGCCUUUGCCAUUUCAUCCCCUCUAGUGUGUAGGGAAGCUCGGGUAAGCCCUCACCCUUCUCUUCUAAUUCGACGGAAUGAAAUGGUGAAUGCGUUCAAGGUGCCAUGACCAUACCGACUUUCUUCAAGCCUUACUUUUAUAAGCUUCAGCUCGAAGAAUGCCCCCGCAAUUGAAUAAAUAGCUAUUAUUGUCCACAACAGUCAUGCUUGCUAUUUAACCAUUCAAACAUUAAUAGGAAACUUCGGAUGAAAGUGCCUCCUGGUCGUACUUUACUACCAAUUAUGGUCCGGAUGGACCAUAAAGCGCCUUUGAAUGCAUGGGCCAGGCCAUCAACGCUCGGUGUUUCUCUACAUAACCUCCACGUCGAGCGGUAUCACCGGACGAUCAAAAACAUUUUUAAGCCGCACAUGAACAUUGCGCGGUUCACCCUUGGUUUGCAUCAAGUGAACAACAGGGGCUUCGUCCGGAAAGACCUGAUGACCAAAGAAGGGAUCAGGGGUGUUGGAUUGUCUAAGGUUAUGGUUGAACUCAACAAGUGCCAUCCAUCUGAAGCCCACAUAUCUAAGUACAGCGUCGAACGAAUUGGUGAAAACUCCACAAAGAUCAUUGUGCAACAGCCAACAGAAGCCCUAAACGUUUACACAAUGCGGAAAAAUCGCUUUCCUUGGAAGUUAGAGCUCCAUCUGAAAACCUGGAACAAGAGCGAGUGGUAACCCACAAGGCAACGCCUUUGAGCCUUUCUGAAGAACGCCCUGAAAUGGAGCAUGCAGCCAAGAACAUUGAUGGGGAUGAAACCAUAGAUCCAAUCAACAAUACAAAGGAACGACCUGACGUGGACCUGGAGGCCGAGAUGAUUGAUGGGGAUGAAACCAUCAAUCAAAUGAACAACAAUGAAGAAGAGGAAGUGCUCACAUUUAUAGCGGAAUGCAACAAAGCCAAAGAGAGGAUCAAAUCGAUAACAAGUGUCUUGAAAUCUGACGAUUACGAUUUGAAAGAAAAGAUAAUACUAAUGUGAGCGGUUCGAAAUCCACUCGACAAUUUAAUUAGUGCACCCUUUUCCCUUAAUCCCAUUUCAUUUCCGAGAUUGGACAGAAAGCGAGUUCACGAGCGACAGAAUCGAUCUUUCUUUCCGAGCAAAUCUGCCAAACCAAAUUCUCUUGCCACUUCCAAAUUGUCCGUCGCACCUUACCAUCGUCCAACCUCAUAAUCUUUAUUGUUUUCGAAGGUAACUUGGUAUUGUGUAUGAAUGUUGAUGAUUAAAAAAAGCCCUUCAUUUCAACUUA
Molecule: long non-coding RNA, 1996 nt
Organism: Tigriopus californicus
Lineage: Eukaryota; Metazoa; Arthropoda; Copepoda; Harpacticoida; Harpacticidae
Exons: 2
Source: RefSeq, a predicted model, not a curated record